This 468-nucleotide ribosomal RNA is filed under the name uncultured bacterium. RNAcentral describes it as "partial 16S ribosomal RNA". It matches the Rfam family "Bacterial small subunit ribosomal RNA", at positions 28 to 507 of the family's 1533-position model. The record is from RNAcentral.
GACGAACGCUGGCGGCGUGCUUAACACAUGCAAGUCGAACGGAAAGGCCCUGCUUUUGUGGGGUGCUCGAGUGGCGAACGGGUGAGUAACACGUGAGUAACCUGCCCUUGACUUUCGUAUAACUUCACGAAACUGGGGCUAAUAUCGGAUAGGAGCUCCUGCUGCAUGGUGGGCGUUGGAAAGUUGCGGCGGUAGGGGAUGGACUCGCGGCUUAUCAGCUUGUUGGUGGGGUAGUUGCUUACCAAGGCAGAGACGGGUAGCCGACCUGAGAGGGUGACCGGGGACAUGGCGCCUAAGGGAGGCAGCAGAGGCGAACGGGAGGCAAUGGGCGCGAACAUUACACAGCGGGCGCGCGUCUGAGACGAAGACGCCGGGUGCGUGAAGCCCGCCUUCGGGUUAAGAACAGCUUCCGCUUGAGACGAAGCGUGAGUGACGGUACCGAAUAAAGAAGCACCGGCUAACUACGUG